AGUGAACGCUGGCGGUAGGCCUAACACAUGCAAGUCGAACGGCAGCACAGGAGAGCUUGCUCUCUGGGUGGCGAGUGGCGGACGGGUGAGGAAUACAUCGGAAUCUACUCUGUCGUGGGGGAUAACGUAGGGAAACUUACGCUAAUACCGCAUACGACCUACGGGUGAAAGCAGGGGACCUUCGGGCCUUGCGCGAUUGAAUGAGCCGAUGUCGGAUUAGCUAGUUGGCGGGGUAAAGGCCCACCAAGGCGACGAUCCGUAGCUGGUCUGAGAGGAGGGUCAGCCAAACUGGACAUGAGACACGGUCCAGACUCCUACGGGAGGCAGCAGUGGGGAAUAUUGGACAAUGGGCGCAAGCCUGAUCCAGCCAUACCGCGUGGGUGAAGAAGGCCUUCGGGUUGUAAAGCCCUUUUGUUGGGAAAGAAAUCCAGCUGGCUAAUACCCGGUUGGGAUGACGGUACCCAAAGAAUAAGCACCGGCUAACUUCGUGCCAGCCGCCGCAGUAA
RNAcentral lists this ribosomal RNA (506 nucleotides) under uncultured bacterium. Its description in RNAcentral is "partial 16S ribosomal RNA". It matches the Rfam family "Bacterial small subunit ribosomal RNA", at positions 29 to 523 of the family's 1533-position model. The record is from RNAcentral.